Molecule: unclassified non-coding RNA, 537 nt
Filed under: Hevea brasiliensis (rubber tree)
Lineage: Eukaryota; Viridiplantae; Streptophyta; Magnoliopsida; Malpighiales; Euphorbiaceae
Source: RNAcentral
AUAUGGCUCGCCGUCAUGAUCGGCCUCGUCAUUGGCUGGUCUUGGCGGCCCAGGUGGACUGGCUUGGUUUUCCUCGGCUUUCGCAGCAAGUUCAGGUUCUUGUGGACGGCGCCGCCGGGGUUUGGAGCUCGACGGCUUUGGUUGGCUUUUACGGCUCUCUCGGCUUUCUCUGUUUGCCGCACCAUUUGGUCCAAUUUCAGGGGUAGGAAUGGAAAAUCCGCAGCGACGGCUGCCGCNCACACCGGCUUCAACGCUGCCGGCCUUAGCGAGAAACUCUGGGGAGGGAAGCGGUGAUUCUAUAAGCUCCCAUGGUGAACCUGUGGAGGGAGAGGAAAUUGUCACAGAGAAUGAUUUAGAGCACCUGUUGCUUCUUCUUGAAGGUAAGGAUGGACAAAUGGAAUGGCAGUCUAUGAUGGAAAGGUCUACCUCAAACAUGUCAUAUCAAGCUUGGCGCCUUGAACCUCAGACAGGUCCUACUGUAUACCGUAGUAGAACUGUCUUUGAGGAUGCAACUGCAGAACUGGUUCGAGAUUUUUU